Molecule: ribosomal RNA, 254 nt
Filed under: uncultured prokaryote
Description: partial 16S ribosomal RNA
Rfam family: Bacterial small subunit ribosomal RNA
Source: RNAcentral
UACAGAGGUCUCAAGCGUUGUUCGGAUUCAUUGGGCGUAAAGGGUGCGUAGGUGGCGUGGUAAGUCAGGUGUGAAAUCUCAGGGCUCAACCCUGAAACUGCACUUGAUACUGCGUGGCUCGGGUACUGGAGAGGAGACUGGAAUUUACGGUGUAGCAGUGAAAUGCGUAGAUAUCGUAAGGAAGACCAGUGGCGAAGGCGAGUCUCUGGACAGUUACCGACGCUGAGUGCACGAAAGCUAGGGGAGCAAACAGG